GAUCCUGCCUGUUGGCUAAUGCUUACUGACGCUGCAUUUAAAGCACGGGAGAAUAAGCGUCCCCUCCGCGUUUAGAUUCUGUUGUCUUCUGUUCUUUUUUACUCCAUUCCUCAUCUCUAUUUUGUGAGCUUUAGCUCUUUUUCUUUUCAGCUCUCCAUCUGGGCCUGAUUAAGUGAGUGAGUGAAUCAUAUCAAUCAGAAUUCAUUUCUGCAUGAGCCAUAUGUAUUGAUCUGCUGUUGUUAAAUCAACAUUCCUGACUGCCAUUUCUGUCUCCACCUUUUGUAUUCCUGACAGCAACUGUACAGUCGAAGGAAAAGAUCUUCCAAGAUGUCUGAAGAGCCACUUACCAAGAACGAACAUCGAGAAACUGGUAUUUCUUUUGGCCUUUAAUCAAACUGUAGUAGCAGUACUAUAAAAGGCUGUACAAUACUACACAGUAAAUACAUACCUAUAUGCAAAUGUGCAUUUAAAACUGCAAAAAGAAAUAAUAUGGCAAUUAAAUAAAUAAUAUUAA
This is a long non-coding RNA of Carassius carassius (crucian carp), 514 nucleotides long. RefSeq lists it as uncharacterized. The transcript is spliced from 2 exons. NCBI's taxonomy places the organism in Eukaryota, Metazoa, Chordata, Actinopteri, Cypriniformes, Cyprinidae. The record is from RefSeq and is a predicted model, not a curated record.